Molecule: long non-coding RNA, 960 nt
Organism: Vicia villosa (hairy vetch)
Lineage: Eukaryota; Viridiplantae; Streptophyta; Magnoliopsida; Fabales; Fabaceae
Exons: 3
Source: RefSeq, a predicted model, not a curated record
UUGGAUUUCCAAGCCUUGGUUACUGGUUCCAACCUCCCUUCUUCUUCCACAUUGAAUGAAUUUUUCCAUCCCUUCUUAUUCCAACCUCGGUUCUUCAACAAAUUAAUUUCUUUCUCUUUUUCAAUACUUGGUUCAUGGUAUCUUCAAUUUCUACUGAUGCAUCCAGCCGCCGAUUCAGGUGUAUUGACAUCAAUGAUUUCUAUUUUUCAGAACAAGCAAAAGCAGCAAAAGCUUGCAAAUCCGACAAUGGUGAUGAUGGGAAUGUGAUUUGGUGUUUUCUGGAUCUACGAUGAUGGCUCGCCGGAGCUGUUUUGACGGUGGUAAAGUGGUGUCGCAGCUGUUGAGUUUCACUUCUCAUUUAAAAGUUACGAGCUUUACUGUCAACAGCAUUGAAGGAAUCGAAUUUGGGAAUGAAUUUGAUGGUAUGCAUGCUUAUCAUAGUGAAGACUGACAAUUCUUCAAAGAGAUGCACCAUGGGGCACGCUACAGCAUCAACAGUUCCUCCCAACAAAAAGGAUAACAAAUGCUCAAGGAUUGCCAUAUUAAGUUAUAUAGAAGUUUCUUCUAUUCCAAUGGAACCCUUCAAUCAUUCCAAUGGAACCCUUAACCACACUAUUGAAUUUUUAUGGCAUGCUGGGAGUUAUUCAAAAUCAUUUUUAUGGAUCCACCUCUUCCAACCUUUUGAAAGAUAGUUCAUUUGAGAAUAUUUCAUUGGUGGUUUCAGAUAAAGUUUCAAUUGAGCAUAUAACUGAUAACCAUAGUGUUUUGAGCUCCUCUACAGCAACAAAAUAGUUAUGCCUGGUUCAAUAGUAUUAUUUUGUCUGAUUAUACACUUUGGUGAAAGUUGUUUGAAUGGUUCUUUUAUUAGACGUGGCUGAUGGUUAUGAGAUGUGCAAUGAAGUUGAAGAUACUGUCAAAUUUGUUUCAGAAAAAUAGUUAAUAACCUUAUAGAAUAUUGUC